UUUUUUUUUUUUGUUGUUUUUUUGGGUUUUUUUUUUUUUUUUUGUUUUUUUUUUUUUUUUUUUUUGAGAUGGGAUCAUGAUGUAUCCAAGCUGGUCUCAAACUUGUGCAGUCCUGCCUCAGCCUUCUGAAGAUUGGCAUUGCAGAUGUGCACCACCUUGUCUGGCUUUUCUGCUUUUCUGAUAAUGGUUUCUUUUUAUUUCCUACAGAUUAUGUCCCUUAUGUCAAUGCUGUUGAUUCAAGGUGGAGUUCAUAUGGCAAUGAGGCCACAUCAUCAGCACACUAUAUUGAACGGGACAGAUUCAUUGUUACUGAUUUAUCUGGUCAUAGAAAGCAUUCCAGUACUGGAGACCUUUUGAGCAUUGAACUUCAGCAGGCCAAGAGUAACUCAUUACUUCUUCAGAGGGAAGCUAAUGCUCUGGCCAUGCAGCAGAAGUGGAAUUCCCUGGAUGAAGGCCGACACCUUACUUUAAAUCUUCUAAGCAAGGAAAUUGAACUAAGAAAUGGAGAGAGUGAUUAUACAGAAGACACAGUAGAUACGAAGCCCGAUAGAGAUAUUGAGUUAGAGCUUUCAGCACUCGAUACUGAUGAACCUGAUGGACAAAGUGAACAAAUUGAAGAAAUCCUGGACCUACAACUUGAUAUCAGUUCUCAAAGUGAUCAGUUGCUGAAUGGAACAGCAAUGGAAAAUGGCCAUCCAGGUCAACAUCACCAGAAAGACACAGUAAAGCAGAAGAGACAGAGCUUAGGUGAAGACCAUGUGAUUCUGUUAUGUAAACCAGUCUGUCUAUUUCAUGGAUAUUUAAUAGUGAGAUCUUCCAUGUUGAAGGGAAAGAACCCUCCGUGCAACAGAACUACACGAACAUCUUCAGCACUUUCUGAGGGUGAUUAUAUACUACAUAAAUUGAUCUUGUGUAUUUAA
This 920-nucleotide long non-coding RNA is filed under the name Cricetulus griseus (Chinese hamster). Its description in RNAcentral is "lncRNA (ENSCGRG00000025559.1)". The record is from RNAcentral. Lineage: Eukaryota; Metazoa; Chordata; Mammalia; Rodentia; Cricetidae.